CAACGGGAGCCAUGCUUUUACUCCUCGGUUUGCUCAGAGCCUGAUGAGGAGAGGCUAAUAUACUUGUGUAUGGCAGUCCAGACUGCAGCAUCAAGCUUGGCUUUGUAUUUGUAUCCAUUCCAUGCAGUCACUAAAAGAGAGACAACCGGCAGGCUUGUGUCCAGAGACUUGUCUUCCACCUACACCUCACCAGAACACAAGGCAGAAAGGUACAGUGCAAGAUAGGGGAGAUGAGGCCAGAGAUUGCAAAAGCGAAUUGUUUUACAAUGCACUCUUCCAACUUCUCUCUCUUUCUCUCUUCCAACUUCUCUCUUUUC
Molecule: long non-coding RNA, 317 nt
Organism: Oncorhynchus kisutch (coho salmon)
Lineage: Eukaryota; Metazoa; Chordata; Actinopteri; Salmoniformes; Salmonidae
Exons: 3
Source: RefSeq, a predicted model, not a curated record